UGGGUUCUAGAGACGUAGUGUAUAGAGAAUGAAUCCUUGGAUUUUUCUACCUCAAAUGCAUAUAUAAUAAAUUCUGAUUAACGGUUCCAAAGUUAUGCCCAAAAUAGACAAUUAAUAGUAAAACUAGUCACUAUUUGUUUGCAUCUCACAACCAGCAGCAAGGUGAAUGACUAUGAUGCAUCCAGUAUUCCAUAUGUGAUGAAAUAAG
This 208-nucleotide long non-coding RNA is filed under the name Lupinus angustifolius (narrow-leaved blue lupine). RNAcentral describes it as "long non-coding RNA (LANG_LNC003341)". Lineage: Eukaryota; Viridiplantae; Streptophyta; Magnoliopsida; Fabales; Fabaceae. The record is from RNAcentral.